Molecule: long non-coding RNA, 573 nt
Filed under: Zonotrichia albicollis (white-throated sparrow)
Lineage: Eukaryota; Metazoa; Chordata; Aves; Passeriformes; Passerellidae
Description: lncRNA (ENSZALG00000016265.1)
Source: RNAcentral
CCAUUUUUAGGCAUCUGUUACAGAGAUAAAAGUCUUGCACCACUUCAGUUCUUGUGCAGACGCUAUAGAAAGGAAAUGUUUAGACUCUAGGCUAAAUAACACUGGACUUACAGAUUAUGAAUGAAAAUAUUAUAAGAGAAAACAACAGCUGUGUCUUUUCCAUGAAGUCCAGAGGGAAUUGAUAAGAAUGUGUGCAUAAGCACGGACACAUGAAUGUGUAUGGUGUUGGUGUGGGCCCAGGCUGCAAGAAUUCUCAUAGCUGGAAGAAAUAUCCUCAGCUCACAAUGACCUGAGUUUCUGCAUAUGUCUCUGGGGGCCAGAUGCAGCACAAUCUAGGAACUGAGCGUAUGAGGUCAGAGGAGAGGAAUGAGGUGCUCUGCAGGGCCGCAGGGCUGAGCCGAGUGCAAGGUACGGAAUGGCUGAAUGUGCACUUGCUGCCAUGGUGACGCGGGGAGCAGACUCGGCGGUCGGGCCGCAGCCGGACAGACGGCCUCGCUGAGGUUCAGCUGCCUUUGAGACAAAAGGUCUGCAGUGUGCCUUACUCCAGCAAGAGAGCAGACAUUCUGGACAAAC